UAAAAAGGGCCCUCCUGGGGUACAGAGAUUUGGCCCGAUCAAAUCUCUUGGGGCAGAAAAUGUCCCAAGUGUUAUACUAGGUGUCUGGAGCGCCUGGAGGUGGCGUUGAAGGCUAAAACGGCCUCUUCCCGCCCAACCCCAGCCCUCUUGACUGGCAGGGCUGCGAGAGGAGUUGGUUCACCGAGCGAGCAUCUGCAUGGGCCGCGACGGCUGGCAGCGGUGUGUGCGGUGCAUCCUGGCUCCCCGCGCCCGGGACGGGGCGUGUGGGCGGAACGGGCACGCCAGCCGGGGCCCGAGGGACGGCUUGAGGUCUGGGGCGUGGGAAGAACCCCAACGCCAGGGUUAAAAAACACCCGUGGGGAUGCGGCGACGACCGAGGCCACGGUCCACGGUGGGGAUCUCGGGGGGCAGAACGAAGAGGGUUCCCGGGAAAGCUGCUCAGGGCUGGCUCCCGCGCUCCCGGCCCUACUCUACGGGGGAAGGAGCGGCGAUCGCCCGGCCCUUUGCGUGUUGAGCGGCCUCAGUCAGGGUCGCUCCAGAGCGGGAGGGGAGUGGCACCCCCCCAACAGCCCCUCCGUUUCACGGGGGUCCCGGGCACUUGGGGAGCGCCUCUGUUCCCGGCCUCUCUGCCCACGCGCUGCCGCGAGGCCCUGUGUUUGCUGGCGGCCGCCCUUCCUUCCCUCCCCGGUCCGCCCCGCCACCCCAGUCGCCCCCGUCGCCACCACCGCUGCCAGAGGUCAGACCCGCGCAGCGGCGGCGGCGAAGAUGCAGACCCCGCACUGCGCUCUGGGCGGCCGUUGGACGUUGGGCAUGCGCCCCGCCCCUGACGUCACCGUUGCGGCGGCCCGGCCCCGCCCUCGUCUCCAUGGAGACCAGCACGCUUCCCGGCGCCCUCCUGCCAACUGCCGUAGCGCGGCUGCUCCUGCCUGCGCCUGGCGCUGCUGUGGACGACGCAGUGAGCCAGGGUCUCCCAGACCCUUAUUAACAUGCAGACUCGCAGACGGCCUUCUCUGAAGAGUCAGGCAGGCCAGCGAUGCUGGACUACAGUGACUCCAGGCUCCUUUCCUAGUUCAGAGGCUUUUGGCUCAAGGUUCCACCCAGAAGUAUGGUUCUCAACUACACACUCAGAUCACCUGGUACACUUUAAAAAAAAUACCAGUGCCUUCUCUCAGACCAAUUGAAUCUGAAGUGCUGAAGGAGCAAACCUGGCAGAUGUGGCCCAUAGGCUCUCUUAAAGCAUCUUGGCUAAAGAAAUCAUCCCUCCUCACUCCUCCCCAAAACGGCAAAAUGCUCACCCUCUCUUCAUACAAGGGAGUUGCAAGCAGAAGGCUACAAGAACUCAGAACUCGAAAGCUGCCAACCUGGUCUGAGAGCUGAGUUUAUAUCCCUUUGUCUGGCAUGCCCUGUGACUUCCCAGUACUCACAGCCAGCCUCUGUUGCAGCUGGGAGGAGGGCUGAUACCAAAGAGGUGGCCUUUGUGGGGAGCCGUGGGGUUUCUGUGAGGCUAAGCCCUAUUUUUAAAAAAUUAUUUAUUUA
This is a long non-coding RNA of Mustela erminea (ermine), 1536 nucleotides long. RefSeq lists it as uncharacterized. The transcript is spliced from 3 exons. The record is from RefSeq and is a predicted model, not a curated record. Lineage: Eukaryota; Metazoa; Chordata; Mammalia; Carnivora; Mustelidae.